This 86-nucleotide transfer RNA is filed under the name Arachnia propionica. RNAcentral describes it as "Pseudopropionibacterium propionicum tRNA-Leu". It matches the Rfam family "tRNA". Rfam says of the family: Transfer RNA (tRNA) molecules are approximately 80 nucleotides in length. Their secondary structure includes four short double-helical elements and three loops (D, anti-codon, and T loops). Lineage: Bacteria; Bacillati; Actinomycetota; Actinomycetes; Propionibacteriales; Propionibacteriaceae. The record is from RNAcentral.
GCCCGGCUGGCGGAAUGGUAGACGCGGUUGACUCAAAAUCAACUGACCACACGGUCGUAGGGGUUCAAGUCCCCUGCCGGGUACGA